RNAcentral lists this transfer RNA (86 nucleotides) under Pseudomonadota bacterium. RNAcentral describes it as "Proteobacteria bacterium tRNA-Leu". It matches the Rfam family "tRNA". From Rfam's summary of the family: Transfer RNA (tRNA) molecules are approximately 80 nucleotides in length. The record is from RNAcentral. Lineage: Bacteria; Pseudomonadati; Pseudomonadota. RNAcentral also lists the same sequence under 2 other names.
GCCAAAGUGGUGGAAUUGGUAGACACGCCAUCUUGAGGGGGUGGUGAGCACAGCUCGUGCGGGUUCGAGUCCCGCCUUUGGCACCA